CUGAAAUUUACAGCUCCAGAGAAGAAGGAGGAAGGGACAGUCCAGAGUGAAGAGAGAUGAGGCUGACAAUACACAAUUGCCUGCACACAGCCCCUCAGCCAUCCUAUUUUGAACCUGAUUUGGGAAAGAUCUCACUUCUUGGAUGGCGAUGACAGGUCUCGUGGGGAUCUGUGUGAGCAGCUGCGGGGAGGGCCUCUCAUGGAGGGACACAGCUUCAGGAGGAGGGGGAGGCCUUGGCAGUCCAGCAGUCUCACUGCCUGCUUCCUGCUGAACAGCUCCUCCAGACUUCAUCCCAGAGCUCUCCAAGGCUUCAGAACAAUUAAAUUCCAGAAUUUUUGAAACCUGGAGUUCUUUGGCAGAAAAAAAGAAGUCACUUUCUGGAACCUUACUCUGUCUCACCACAGUCUCCGACAAGGGCAGAGUGGUGACCGGGCUCGCUUUUACA
Molecule: long non-coding RNA, 445 nt
Organism: Chinchilla lanigera (long-tailed chinchilla)
Lineage: Eukaryota; Metazoa; Chordata; Mammalia; Rodentia; Chinchillidae
Exons: 3
Source: RefSeq, a predicted model, not a curated record